RNAcentral lists this ribosomal RNA (468 nucleotides) under uncultured bacterium. Its description in RNAcentral is "partial 16S ribosomal RNA". It matches the Rfam family "Bacterial small subunit ribosomal RNA", at positions 28 to 507 of the family's 1533-position model. The record is from RNAcentral.
GACGAACGCUGGCGGCGUGCUUAACACAUGCAAGUCGAACGGAAAGGCCCUGCUUUGGUGGUGUGCUCGAGGGGCGAACGGGUGAGUAACACGUGAGUGACCUGCCCCUGACUUUGGGAUAACCGCAGGAAACUUGGGCUAAUACCGGAUAGGAGCGCCGGCUGCAUGGUGGGGGUGGGAAAGUUUCGGCGGUUGGGGAUGGACUCGCGGCUUAUCAGCGUGUUGGUGGGGUAGUGGCUUACCAAGGCUUUGACGGGUAGCCGGCCUGGGAGGGUGACCGGACACAUUGGGACUGGGAUCCCGCCCCGACUCCUCCGGGAGGCCGCCGUGCAGCAUCUUGUCCCAUGCGCGGAGGCCAGAUCCAGCAACGCCGCGCCGGGGAUGUCGGCCUUCGGGUUGUAAACCACUUUCGCAUGUGCCGCAGCGUGAGUGACGGUCCUGGGUAAAGCAGCCCCGGCUCACUCCGUG